ACAUGUCAAUCCCAGUUCCCUCUCCCUCUCCUCCUCCCCUGCCCCCCACUAACUCCCUAUCCCAUACCCUUUCUGCUCCUGAGGGAGGGUGAGGCCUUCCAUGGAGGCUCUUCAGAGUCUGUCAUAUCCUUUGGGAUAGGGCCUGGGUCCUCCCCCCUGUGUCUAGGCUGAGAGAGUAUCCCACUAUGUGGAAUGGGUUCCCAAAACUCAUUCGUAUGCUAGGGAUAAAUACUGAUCUACUACCAGAGGACCCAUAGAUUUCUGAGGCCUCCUGAAUGAUAACCAUGUUCAUGGAAUCUGGAUUAGUCCUAUGCUGGUUUCCCAGCUAUCAGUCUGGGGUUCAUGAGCUCCCCCUUGUUCAGGUCAGCUGUUUCUGUGGGUUUCACCAGCCUGGUCUUGACCUCUUUGCUCAUCACUCCUCCCUCUCUGCAACUGGGUUCCAGUUCAGUUCAGUGUUUAGCUGUGGGUGUCUGCUUCUGCUUCCAUCAGCUGUUGGAUGAAGGCUCUAGGAUGGCAUAUAAAGUAGUCAUCAAUCUCAUUAUCAGAGAAGGGCAUUUAAGGAAGCCUCUCCACUGUUGCUUAGAUGGUUAGUUGGUAUCAUCCUUGUAGAUCUCUGGACAUUUCCCUAGUGCCUGAUUUCUCUUUAAGCCUAUAACUUCUCCUUCUAUUAUGGUAUCUCUUUUCUUGCUCUCCUCUAUUCUUCCCCCAACUCAACCUUCCUGCUCCCUCAUUUCCUCCUCACCCCUCCUCUUCUCCCCUUCUCAUUCUCCUAGCUCCCUCACUCAGUGGAUUUUAUAACCUAGACCAUGGAAGGUUCCCGGCCUGCCUGCCACUGAUGCUGUUAUGGAGAGAAACUAAAGUAACGCAUCAGUUUCCUCUCCCUGCAGGAUACUCUUGCUCAACAACCAUCGGUGGCUCCCCAUUACCCAUAGGAAAGAGUUGUAUUUCAGUGUUCAUCUGUGCUCAUUCAACUUGAACCCAUUUUCCAACUUUAUUUCCCAUGCACAUAAGUCUUCUGCUCCUUGCAGAGUUCACCCAGCAUGGUUUUUGCCUUCUUACCUCCAGGCCUUCUCCCAUCACUACCUAUUGAGUUUACCAUCAUCCUUCAAGACCUCACUAUGGCACCAUCUCUCCUAUGAGGCUUCCUUCCUCAGCAGAGUCGAAAGGAAUCUUAUUCUUCCCGGGGAGAACUCUGUUGAAAACAAAUACCACAACAGUUCCUGGCACUGUGCUCAUGAAAAGAAAGUUGUCAUGACCACACCCGAGCUCUAAACACUUUACAUUCACUGACUCAUGGAAUCUCC
RNAcentral lists this long non-coding RNA (1304 nucleotides) under Cricetulus griseus (Chinese hamster). RNAcentral describes it as "lncRNA (ENSCGRG00015030676.1)". The record is from RNAcentral. Lineage: Eukaryota; Metazoa; Chordata; Mammalia; Rodentia; Cricetidae.